UGACUUUUUUCCUAGUCAAACUUUUUUAGUUCGACUAAAUUUGUAGAAAAAUAUAAUAACAUUCCCAAUACAAAACAAACAUAUUAUCAAAAUAUAUUCAAUGUUAUAUUUAAUGGAACUAAUUUGGUGUUGUAGAUGUUGCUAAAUUUUUUUAUAAACUUAGUCAAACAUAAAGAAGUUUGACUAGGAAAAAAGUCAA
Molecule: microRNA precursor, 199 nt
Filed under: Oryza glumipatula
Lineage: Eukaryota; Viridiplantae; Streptophyta; Magnoliopsida; Poales; Poaceae
Description: MIR1435 microRNA precursor family
Rfam family: MIR1435 microRNA precursor family
Source: Rfam by way of RNAcentral